GGGCUUGCCUCUUAGCACACAUGUUAAAAUUAGGACAGUACAGGGAAGAUCAGUGUGGUCCCUGCUCAAGGGCAGCAUGCAAAUCCAAGGGAUGCUGCAUAUUUUA
Rattus norvegicus (Norway rat) is the source of this 106-nucleotide small nuclear RNA. The record is from Ensembl. NCBI's taxonomy places the organism in Eukaryota, Metazoa, Chordata, Mammalia, Rodentia, Muridae.